GACGAACGCUGGCGGCGUGCCUAAUACAUGCAAGUCGAACGCACGAAGUUGAAGAGCUUGCUCUUUAACCAAGUGAGUGGCGGACGGGUGAGUAACACGUGGGUAACCUACCCAUUAGAGGGGGAUAACAUUCGGAAACGGAUGCUAAUACCGCAUGGUUUCAGGAAUCGCAUGAUUCGUGAAGGAAAGGUGGCUUCGGCUACCACUAAUGGAUGGACCCGCGGCGUAUUAGCUAGUUGGUGAGGUAAUGGCUCACCAAGGCAAUGAUACGUAGCCGACCUGAGAGGGUGAUCGGCCACACUGGGACUGAGACACGGCCCAGACUCCUACGGGAGGCAGCAGUAGGGAAUCUUCCGCAAUGGACGAAAGUCUGACGGAGCAACGCCGCGUGAGUGAAGAAGGUUUUCGGAUCGUAAAACUCUGUUGUUAAAGAAGAACAAGGAUGAGAGUAACUGCUCAUCCCCUGACGGUAUUUAACCAGAAAGCCACGGCUAACUACGUGCCAGCAGCCGCGGUAAUACGUAGGUGGCAAGCGUUGUCCGGAUUUAUUGGGCGUAAAGCGAGCGCAGGCGGUUCUUUAAGUCUGAUGUGAAAGCCCCCGGCCCAACCGGGGAGGGUCAUUGGAAACUGGAGAACUUGAGUGCAGAAGAGGAGAGUGGAAUUCCACGUGUAGCGGUGAAAUGCGUAGAUAUGUGGAGGAACACCAGUGGCGAAGGCGACUCUCUGGUCUGUAACUGACGCUGAGGCUCGAAAGCGUGGGGAGCAAACAGG
RNAcentral lists this ribosomal RNA (771 nucleotides) under uncultured Vagococcus sp. Its description in RNAcentral is "bacterial SSU rRNA". It matches the Rfam family "Bacterial small subunit ribosomal RNA", at positions 28 to 776 of the family's 1533-position model. The record is from RNAcentral. Lineage: Bacteria; Bacillati; Bacillota; Bacilli; Lactobacillales; Enterococcaceae.